This 77-nucleotide transfer RNA is filed under the name Clostridiales bacterium. RNAcentral describes it as "tRNA-Asp". It matches the Rfam family "tRNA". Rfam says of the family: Transfer RNA (tRNA) molecules are approximately 80 nucleotides in length. RNAcentral also lists the same sequence under 2 other names. The record is from RNAcentral. Lineage: Bacteria; Bacillati; Bacillota; Clostridia; Eubacteriales.
GGCCCAGUAGUUCAGCUGGUUAGAACGCUAGCCUGUCACGCUAGAGGUCGACGGUUCGAGCCCGUUCUGGGUCGCCA